CCCCUUCAUGGUUUUAUAGGUGACGUAAUUGUUUUGGUUUCUUGAGCACAAUAAAUUUAUUCACUGGUUGAACUCCAGAUGUUUUCGUGUAAAAAAUAUGGUUUACAUACAUGAACAUCUGCUAAUCUGGUUUAUGUGUUAGAAGAAGACUAGGAAAACAGUUUCUUGACUACUUUUAUUUGUGUAGGAAAAUGUUCCUGAAGUUCCGGUGGAGAAUGAUUUCUUGUUAAAUGGGGAGCUCGACGGGGAGGAUGUACAUUGAUUCAUUAUCCUCUGUGUCCAUAGUCAGUUAAAGUAUGUAUUAGUUAGACUUUGUCGGAUGGUUAUUUAUUAGCUUUAGUUUUAUGUAAUCUUUUGGUAUGUACUGUUUGAUUGAGAUCAAACAGGAGAUGAUGUAUAGGGUUGUUGGACAGGUUGUGUAAAAUGUUAUAUCUAUUUUUAUGCAGCUUUGAUAUAUUUAUU
RNAcentral lists this long non-coding RNA (462 nucleotides) under Daucus carota (carrot). Its description in RNAcentral is "long non-coding RNA (DCAR_LNC006087)". Lineage: Eukaryota; Viridiplantae; Streptophyta; Magnoliopsida; Apiales; Apiaceae. The record is from RNAcentral.